AAAGGAAUAGACGGGGACCCGCACAAGCAGCGGAGCAUGUGGUUUAAUUCGAAGCAACGCGAAGAACCUUACCAAGGCUUGACAUCCCCCCGAAAGCCCCUUAACCGGGGCCCCCCUCCGGGGCGGGGGUGACAGGUGGUGCAUGGUUGUCGUCAGCUCGUGUCGUGAGAUGUUGGGUUAAGUCCCGCAACGAGCGCAACCCUUGUCAUUAGUUGCCAUCAUUUGGUUGGGCACUCUAAUGAGACUGCCGGGGAUAACUCGGAGGAAGGUGGGGAUGACGUCAAAUCAUCAUGCCCCUUAUGUCUUGGGCUACACACGUGCUACAAUGGCCGGUACAACGAGAUGCGAAGUCGCGAGGCGGAGCGAACCUCCAAAACCGGUCCCAGUUCGGAUCGCGGGCUGCAACUCGCCCGCGUGAAGCCGGAGUUGCUAGUAAUCGCGGAUCAGCACGCCGCGGUGAAUGCGUUCCCGGGUCUUGUACACACCGCCCGU
Molecule: ribosomal RNA, 492 nt
Filed under: uncultured bacterium
Lineage: Bacteria
Description: bacterial SSU rRNA
Rfam family: Bacterial small subunit ribosomal RNA
Source: RNAcentral